This 497-nucleotide ribosomal RNA is filed under the name uncultured bacterium. RNAcentral describes it as "partial 16S ribosomal RNA". It matches the Rfam family "Bacterial small subunit ribosomal RNA", at positions 28 to 507 of the family's 1533-position model. The record is from RNAcentral.
GAUGAACGCUGGCGGCGUGCCUAAUACAUGCAAGUCGAGCGAACAGACGAGGAGCUUGCUCCUCUGACGUUAGCGGCGGACGGGUGAGUAACACGUGGAUAACCUACCUAUAAGACUGGGAUAACUUCGGGAAACCGGAGCUAAUACCGGAUAAUAUAUUGAACCGCAUGGUUCAAUAGUUAAAGACGGUUUUGCUGUCACUUAUAGAUGGAUCCGCGCCGCAUUAGCUAGUUGGUAAGGUAACGGCUUACCAAGGCAACGAUGCGUAGCCGACCUGAGCGGGUGAUCGGCCACACUGGAACUGAGACACGGUCCAGACUCCUACGGGAGGCAGCAGUAGGGAAUCUUCCGCAAUGGGCGAAAGCCUGACGGAGCAACACCGCGUGAGUGAUGAAGGACUUCGGAUCGUAAAACUCUGUUAUUAGGGAAGAACAAAUGUGUAAGUAACUAUGCACGUCUUGACGGUACCUAAUCAGAAAGCCACGGCUAACUACGUG